UUUUUGAACUAUUUUCAUAUAUAGGGCGCACCAAAUUUUAAGGCGCAUAGAAGAUACUGCAGUAAAACGUUUGACUGGGGCUGCGUUAUGCAUCCACUAGAUCGGGCUGUGCUAAAUCAAACGUUAUUAAAAACUCUUCACUCCCAUGGUAACGUUGUUCAAACGUUAAUGUGGAUAUUAACAAUAUCUCUGAACCUCCAACUUUGGUUCUUGAUUAAUGAAAACAUUCUUGGCAAAUGCUUUGGUGCAUCUUGCAGCACUGGAACAGACGGUGGACCGUCAGCGCGAUCCCGACAUCCAACUACCAGCUUUAAUAUACUGUAGCGACUCUCGCUAAUGAAUCUCUGGACAAUGUGCUUAUCUUCUGGUUUUAUUGUGGAGAAACAGGCUACUGUCGGCUGUAGCCUACGCCGAACAAAAACACACCAUCGCUCUCCAAAACAACAACAAUUCCCGCGUCCCCAUAGGUGGCACUAAGAUGAGUGACGUCACAUUGUGCGCCCUUCACUGACCAUCCCAAAACUCUGUAAAGUGCAACGCCGCUCCAGAACAUGAAAACACAGUCCGUUACAAUACGCUGUUGGAGCUGGAAUUACCGCGGCUGCUGGCACCAGACUUUCCCUCCAAUUGAUCCUCGUUAACCAGUAUGGAUCAACCAAUUGAUCCAUAUAUAUAGCGCUCCGGAUUAUAAGGCGCACGCGUCUUUUUUUAGAAAAAAGGAUUUUAAGUGCGCCUUAUAGUCGCAAAAAUACGGUAAUUACAAAAUUGUACACCGUAAGUGGUUAGGAAACCUUUUGGUUCAGGGUGAGCCAAGACAACUGGUGUUCGGCGUAUCGUGUAUACACGUAUUACAGUCAAAUUAUUAAUAAAGUGCUUUACAGACGUGAAAUCCCAAAACACACCGGGGAUUAGGCAAUUAAGUUAAUUAGCAACAUCUGUAUAAAAGCAGAAUGAAAACGUUUGUGCGACCUCUGCUCAGUAGAAAUAUAUUUUGAAAAGCUAUAGAAAAAAAAAGUACCGAUGGACCCUCGCAAAGUAAAUGAGUUGCUUGAGUUCAAGAUUAACAAAAUCUAUCCGACUGAUUUCAAUCAGAAUGAACGAUACGUUCUUAAAAGACGAGCUGAGAGGUAACCCACACGACUAUAUGGUAUGGUCUCCUAACGGAUUUUAAAUUUAUUUUAAAUGUUUAUGCAAUAUAAAUCCCUAGAUUGGGAACUUUAUUACCAGUGCCGCAGAAAAAAAGAUUAUCAGCGUCAUCAUCUUGCCAAGGUUGUAGUUACUCCACAAGAAGCGAACAACAUCUUUGUGGAGUUUCAUGCCAGUGAUAUUGGCGCUCAUUGUGGUAUUGAGAAAACCUUGGAUGCAAUCCUUCAAAGGUAUUACUGGGCUGGCAUGAAGGCUGACAUCCAAAAAUGGAUUGCCCAAUGUGAUGCAUGCCAGAAAAAGAGGACCUCUAUAAAAGAGAAAAUUCAUUGCAAACCCAUCGAGGUGACUGAGCCCUUUGAACUUGUGGGAAUGGACCUUGUUGGAAAGCUGAAAUGCACCAACAAUGGUUAUAUGUAGAUAUGUGUGAUGGUGGACUACUUCACAAAGUGGCUAGAAGUCUACCCACUAAGAACGAACGGAGCAGAAGAAGUCACACAGUGCAUUAUGGAUUUUGUUUAUAAGUAUGGCGCCCCAAAACGCAUCCUGACCGACCGUGGAAAAGAAUUUGUCAACAAAAUAAACUCAGGAUUGUGUGAAAAUCUUGGAAUUGCCAGAAGUCUGUGUGCUCCCUACCACCCUCAAACCAAUGGCUUGGUCGAAAAGCUAAAUGGCACAAUUCAAGGAUCUUUGAAGAAAAUGGUGCAGGACCACCCGAGUGACUGGGACAUAUACAUAAAGCCAACUGUAUUUGGCUUACAAACAAAAAAGUAGUUGACAACGAAAUACUCCCCUUACUACUUAUUGUAUGGAAGGGAGGCCCGUUACCCGUCUGAAAUACCAGAUAAGUGGCACGUAUGAUUGCCUUUUACAGCACUACAAGCUUUUAUUUUUCUUCACCUUUGAUACAGAUAUCUGAGGAACAUGUACUAAUGACAAAUGAGGACGUCUGCCCCCACAUUAACGACCUCAAAUAUGUCUAUAAUAAAGUGGAGGCAAACAUUGCAGAGAUGCAGGAAAAGGUGCGAAAGAGGAAACUUGUAAAGGGGGAGGACGACAGCUUUUUAGUGGGGGACAAAGUUUUGCGAAAAAAUAUCCGGGAAGAACAGAGAAAAGGGGGUAAGCUGGAAACGGACUUGCUGGGUCCAUACACAGUGACAAAUAUAGAUGGGAAGAGUGCUGACCUGAUGACCCUACAAGGGAAACAUGUUGGCAAAAUCAACAUUGACCAUCUAAAGAGGUAUGUGGAACCAGAAGUGUGGAUACCCGCCUGAAAUUGCUGCCACAUCCACUUCUCCUCCAUCACUGCAGCCCAGCCCCUUAAGGUGUUUGAGGGUUCCCCAAUCCUUGUCUGUACCCCCAAAAUCAGACUUCUUGAGCUCCAGUCCCCCGUCAUGGCA
Long non-coding RNA from Pungitius pungitius (ninespine stickleback), 2543 nucleotides. RefSeq lists it as uncharacterized. The transcript has 5 exons. NCBI's taxonomy places the organism in Eukaryota, Metazoa, Chordata, Actinopteri, Perciformes, Gasterosteidae. The record is from RefSeq and is a predicted model, not a curated record.